This is an RNA transcript of Harpia harpyja (harpy eagle), 4709 nucleotides long. RefSeq lists it as uncharacterized. The transcript has 6 exons. NCBI's taxonomy places the organism in Eukaryota, Metazoa, Chordata, Aves, Accipitriformes, Accipitridae. The record is from RefSeq and is a predicted model, not a curated record.
GCGCCCCCGCCAAUGGCAGGAGGGCUCGGGCGGAGCGCCGGCCAAUGAGGGGCGGGGAGGGGGCCGGCGCGGCGCGCGCGGCGGCUGCAGGGGGACGUGAGGCCCGUGAGGUUGAUUCCAGCGAUGUGGUGUCUCACAGAUGCUGCAAGGGGCUGAUAGUAACAGCUAGCUCUGUGCUUUUCUGGAUGUUCUGCUAUCGAUCCAAUUCCUGAGGUCGGUUGAAAAGGACUGCAUAAUCUGACCUCUAGUAUCUACAUCUGCAUCUGCAUACCUGGAGAGAGAGAUCAAUUGGUGGCAGAACAUUCUGACUGACACGUAUCUGAGUGCAGCUAAGAGGAAGACGCCAGCAGUUAAUACAAGCCUCUGGAAAGAAUGACUGAUCAAGAGAUGGUCCAGACAUCCAGGUUAAGCUCUUCAUUUGACCCUGAGCAAAUUAUUCAACUCCUAUCUGUAUAAUAGGCUAAUGGCACUCUCCUGCUCUGUCGUGCUCUUGAAGCCCAAUGCCUAAAGUACUUGGAAAGCCUCAGUGGAAGCACAGCAGAGUAAUUUCAACAUGCUCUGUAGCUGUGCACAGGGAAAAGAGCUUGCCUUCAGGCACAGUGGUGCCAAGAACCAGCAGCACAGGUUCACUCUCCCAUCAACUCCCAGAUGCUUCCAAGAAGAUUUCUAGCCUGGAGGAGCCCAAGGUGGGAGCACAAAGAUGUCCCUUUCCUUCAGCAGUCCCACUAGAUACAGUGUCUAAUGGUGAAGCCUGGACAAUGACUACAUCCUGUGCCAUCCGCUCCACAGACUUCAACAACUGUUGCUUCAGUUUAACUGGUGGCCUGCAUUCAAAGCAUAGGAAACAUGGUUCCUUUCCUGGAAGACUGAUGUUCUCGCUGUUCUUCUCUGCAGCGACAUUCCUAUUUCAUGACAGCGCCAAAAAGCAUGCGCACGCACAAUGGUAACAAAGAAGGUGACCUAACCCUUUACAUGCCAAGUGCCUUUAGAGAAGCCAGCACCCCACUCCUCUUUUGCAAGCCUAACCCAUGCCUCAGAUUAGCAAGACCUGCUGGGACAGAACAGGAGACUGCAAGUGAGAAGAGGAAUGAUGAAGCAGACAGCGGGCCUUGAGCUAUUAUUCUUCACCAGAGUCCCGUCAGCGAGUGCCAUUUACUCAAAGACAGAUGGUCCAUCUAACUUCAUCUGAUUGCCCCAUGGAGGAGACUUCACUGGCAACUGGUGCAAAGAAGGGAUCGUAUGUGGCCUACUCCUGCUCCUUAGUUCGCACCUACAUUUAAAGAUGUGCUCACUGCUGGGACACUGCACAGCCAUUUUUGGGAACCAGAAAGUCACACAGCAGCAAGAUUAUGAAACUGCAAAAGGAGACAGAACAAAUUUUAACUGCACCAUAAAAGAAACAGAAUGAGGCAUUUGGCCUCAUGGGCAGACAAGAGAGAACAUUUCCCCCAGUGAAGGGACCCUGUGCUGGACCCCAGGAUAUGGAGCUCAGUGUUCCUAUAGGUUUCUCUGACCUAUGAGGUAGGAAAGCUACACUCAACACCCUUUAUUUAAGUUAGCUCAUUUCUAGUUCUCAUGCUUUUUGAUUCAUGAUGUUCACAAGUGAAAGUCACUGUCUUUCACUAUCCUUGGGAUCUAAGUGGGGAAAUGGAGGCCCAAGAAGGACACAAUAAUUCAUUUUCUUUUACCUUCCAAAAAUCCUGCCGUUGCCCUUCUGGUUAGUUUCCAUGAGGAUGCUGAUGUAAUCAGCAAGUUCCUAUUGAUUAUUUUCUACCUAGGUGAAAGCUCAACAGCAUGUGGUCAUUAGACCUGGCAGGACCAAGUCCUUUAGCAGUUACAGUAUUAUCAUCGUCUGCUUUUACUGAUAAUUUCCAUGGAUUUUUAAGUCUCCUUCCUUCCUGUUUUUUCCAGCUCAAACACCAGAACAAGAUAGGUCUUCAUCCUCUUACCUAGCAGUUCUCCUUAGCAUAAGGGAGUUAACCUUUUCAACUACACUUGGUAAUCAAUGUGGAGUUCACAAUAUUGACUCUUGUGCCUGACAGAAGCCCUAACACUGAAGCAAACCCACUAACUGUUUAGCUGUAACUGUUUUCCCUGGGGCUGUUUCACCCCCACCAUCUUCAUACAUGGCUCUGCUCUGACGAGUCCGCGUUAUUCAGCUUCAGUAGCUGCUUAAAGCCUGUCUUUAUAGACAGAACACCGGGUGGUUUCUCCUGAAUACCCAGCAGGUUACCUGCAGUGAUUUAGCAGUGUUCAGCUGCUGGUACUUCUGGCAACACUGCUGUGCUAAACAGGGUGUAACAGAGUUUUUAAAAGCUUGCUCACUUACUAUGAGAAUGGCUACAAAGCAGGCCAGCGUAGUAUUCCAGUCUCCACUAGCUGUGGCAGCUGCUUUCCCAACAAGCACACUGUAAAAUAUGAAGUCUCCAAGGCCCAGCUUCACACCCCCUGAGAGAAGUGGAAAAAGAAAACAAGUGUUAAUUCUGCUCCUCCUGUUUUGCUUUCUCCUGAACAAAUUCUUGUCCCCUGCAGGGCAGGUGAAAGUUCCUAGUCCUGGCUACCAACCUGGACCCUUAACAUCCCACACAUUACUGAACAGGCUGAGACUUCCAGUCCCCUCUCCCACACUUGUUUUUGCUCAGCCUCAUUCUCUGAGGUGCUUCCCUCGGCUGCUUUAUAGAUGUACCAGCUGAGGAAGCAUGAGGAUGGAGAGGGAUGGGAAGCAAGGGAAAGAAGGAACUGUUUCAAUUGUCAGCAUAGCCAAGAGAUGUCACUGAAACAAUCCCAGAACAGAUUCUGCAGCAGCAAGAAACAAUACACAGUCAGACUCAAAAUCUUUGUUGCUCAACAAGUCACAACUCUUCAAAUUAACUGUGAUUAGACCAAACUAGGUAACAGAGUGUUAACCACAAUGAGUAAAAGCAUCAGGCUCUGACUCGGACUAUACUGAAAACAAGGUAUAAAGCUUCCCUUACUUUCCUCCUCCUCGAGCUCCUCUAAAGAGGUGAUGGGGCGGGUUGGGACAGGACUCCUCGUCUCCGACAUCUGAGAGUCUCCGUGUGAAGGGCUUCUGUGGUUCUCUCUCCCAUCCUCAGCUUGGUUCCACAAAAAUAGGCCAAGAAGAAUGGACAAAAAAAAAAAAAAAACAAAAAUGAAACACAAGAGGUAACUACAUUUACAACUUGUUUUAAUGCAUGAAAUCCACACUUCUGUGAAGCUUCUCUGGAAUGGGUAAGCCCUUUGUUUCUUGGAGGUGUGAUCAUCAGGACCAGUUCAAGCAGAGACAUUUAGUGGCUUUGAGGAAAACACUGGUGUUAUUCGAAACAGUAAGACGGGUACAUGUUCACUGCUUCUUUGGCAGCUACCUGGGAGUUCAAUGGCUUUAACAAGCGAGUACAUACACAGAACUACACAUUGCUCUGCACAGGCUAGAAUGACAAGUAAAACCAAGUAAAGUUAGUAUGCGUUCCCACAUUGUUAUAUCUUUGGGGUGGAGGUGCUCAGGUAUUCCCUAACUGGUCAUAUGACAAAAAUGGAUGACUAAGAGGACUGCCAUUUAUGAGCAAAGUUCUGCCCUGAAUCACAUUGACAUUGGGGCUGGGUGUUCACAUGUAGCAAGCAAACACAUUUCAUUGUUCACAGAUUUAAUUUCUCCCCCCUACCCCCCCAACCCAUUAAACACAUCUAACAGAGCCCUUGGCAGUGCUUUUGGAAGCAGCCAGUCUGUGAUACAUUACUCUAUCUGACAGUUCCUAUUUUUUGAAGUUCUCAUACAAACUUUCCAGUCCACAUCAGCCUGACAGGAUGCUGCUGCUGCAGAUGCAAGCAGACUGUGAUCUGGGACACAUAGAGCUUCCACAGAGGCAUUCUGUAUGCCUCAGCAUGUAGACUGCGCCUGCUCUGUGCCCAGUUUCAAAGCAGGAUUGCGUCCCUGCAGUUUGUUAUUAUGUCAGCUGCUUUACCCUCAAAUAAGCAGCAUGUUCAGUUAUCAACCCUUAACAUACAUUCAUUGCUUUAACAUAAAAAGGUACUGUCAUCUCUGAAGUGCAACAGGACCAGAUGGGAAAUCCUCCCAACACCCCAAGUCAGAUUUUAUUCAAUCACCUUAAAACUGCAGUUUAACUUGCAUUUCGAGAAGAUAAAAGCAAAGGCACAUAAAUUACCACAGGACCAGCUAGAAUGUAAACUUGGAACUCAUCAGCUACUGUUGGGUAACUGCCCAAACAUUACAUUUACCCUUGGGUAAAGGCUUAAGACAUUCAUUUUCUUCGGCAGGGUAAGCCAUAUUGCACUUACAGCUAGGUAAAAGCAUGUCUGCUCCAUGGCAGUGGCCUGAAUGCAACACAUUGCAACACACCUAAGUUCACCAGUUCAUUGGCAUUAUGUUUAUAUGAGCCUAUGUUUUAAUUUACCAUCCCCAGCUAGUAAAAAUAUAAACCCCCGCUAGCCCACUUUCAGCUUUGACUUCAGUACAUCUGAAGAUGUGUGUUGAAAACCACUUCUGUUUGGUUUUUUGUUUGGUUGGUUUUUUUAAAUAAAAGCAGCCUGAAUACUGGACCUUCCUACAUCAUCUGGUCAUCUUUGCUGCCAGCCCUAACAGCAGGUUUCAGAACAUCACCAAGUUCUGCAAAUAACGUAACAACACUGAAAAAAAAAAAAAAUGCAACUGUCAGGAUUCAGGGGCUUACAUUUACUUGCAGUCUCAAACA